This 470-nucleotide ribosomal RNA is filed under the name uncultured bacterium. RNAcentral's name for it is "bacterial SSU rRNA". It matches the Rfam family "Bacterial small subunit ribosomal RNA", at positions 8 to 526 of the family's 1533-position model. The record is from RNAcentral.
AGGGUUUGAUUCUGGCUCAGAACGAACGCUGGCGGCAGGCCUAACACAUGCAAGUCGAGCGCGCCUUCGGGCGAGCGGCGGACGGGUUAGUAACGCGUGGGAACGUGCCCAGAUCUACGGAAUAGCCACUGGAAACGGUGAGUAAUACCGUAUACGCCCUUAGGGGGAAAGAUUUAUCGGAUUUGGAUCGGCCCGCGUUAGAUUAGGUAGUUGGUGGGGUAACGGCCUACCAAGCCUACGAUCUAUAGCUGGUUUUAGAGGAUGAUCAGCAACACUGGGACUGAGACACGGCCCAGACUCCUACGGGAGGCAGCAGUGGGGAAUCUUGGACAAUGGGGGCAACCCUGAUCCAGCCAUGCCGCGUGAGUGAAGAAGGCCUUAGGGUCGUAAAACUCUUUCGCCUGUGAUGAUAAUGACAGUAGCAGGUAAAGAAACCCCGGCUAACUCCGUGCCAGCCGCCGCGGUAAUUC